CACGUAGGGCGCGAGCGUUGUCCGGAAUUAUUGGGCGUAAGGAGCUCGUAGGCGGCCUGUUGCGUCCGCUGUGAAAGCCCGGGGCUUAACCCCGGGUCGGCAGUGGAUACGGGCAGGCUAGAGGUAGGUAGGGGAGAAUGGAAUUCCCGGUGUAGCGGUGAAAUGCGCAGAUAUCGGGAGGAACACCGGUGGCGAAGGCGGUUCUCUGGGCCUUACCUGACGCUGAGGAGCGAAAGCGUGGGGAGCGAACAGG
Molecule: ribosomal RNA, 253 nt
Filed under: uncultured bacterium
Lineage: Bacteria
Description: partial 16S ribosomal RNA
Rfam family: Bacterial small subunit ribosomal RNA
Source: RNAcentral